GGCAAGGAUUAAUUAAUAUGUUAAUUAAUCAAACGAAUAAGUUCUUUAAAGACCUCGGGAUAGUUUUGGACCUUAAGGCCCAAUGGGCUUCGAACGUCAAGCCCAUUAACUUAAGUUGUAUGACAAUUUAAUGAAUAAAGAUUCAUUAAAGCCCAAAAGCCCAAAAUUCCUUAGGUGGCCGGCCAUAUGGUGAUGAAUUAGGGUUUUGGUUGUUUAGGUCACUUAAAGAAGUGACUAUAUAAAUGACUUUAUAGCCAAAUAUUCAUUAAUGUAAUUAAGGGUUUAUUUUGGGUGAAAAUGGGUGAGAAUUGUCUCUCCAUUUUCUCUCUAAAGAGGCCAACACC
RNAcentral lists this long non-coding RNA (344 nucleotides) under Malus domestica (apple). RNAcentral's name for it is "long non-coding RNA (MDOM_LNC020978)". Lineage: Eukaryota; Viridiplantae; Streptophyta; Magnoliopsida; Rosales; Rosaceae. The record is from RNAcentral.